This 137-nucleotide small RNA is filed under the name Enterobacter bugandensis. RNAcentral describes it as "RtT sRNA". It matches the Rfam family "RtT RNA". From Rfam's summary of the family: This family represents a bacterial cis-regulatory element known as RtT RNA. The exact function of RtT is unknown although it is thought that it may be involved in changing the cellular response in relation to amino acid starvation. The record is from RNAcentral. RNAcentral also lists the same sequence under 1 other name. Lineage: Bacteria; Pseudomonadati; Pseudomonadota; Gammaproteobacteria; Enterobacterales; Enterobacteriaceae.
AUAUUGCACGCCUGUGGGGGGAUGAGAACCCCCGACCGGGGUUCGACAACUGGCGCAGCCAGUUGGACAGACUGUGAGCAAAGCGAACAGGCUGCCCGCAGGGCGAGCGAAGCGAGUCAAUCCCCCCCUCACCGCCA